UAACGGCGAGUGAAGCGGGAUGAGCUCAAAUUUGAAAGCUGGCAUCAAUGUCCGCGUGGUAAUCUCGAGAGAUGUUUUCCGCGCUGGACCACGUACAAGUUCCUUGGAAUAGGAUGUCAUAGAGGGUGAAAAUCCCGUACUUGAUGUGGACGCCCAGUGCUUUGUGAUACGUCUUCGAAGAGUCGAGUUGUUUGGGAAUGCAGCUCAAAAUGGGUGGUAAAUUCCAUCUAAAGCUAAAUAUUGGGGAGAGACCGAUAGCGAACAAGUACCGUGAGGGAAAGAUGAAAAGCACUUUGGAGAGAGAGUUAGACAGUACGUGAAAUUGUCAAAAGGGAAGCAUUUGAAGUCAGACGUGUAUUGCAGUAUUCAGCCUUGCUUUUGCUUGGUGUAUUUGCUGUAGUACAGGCUUACAUCAGUUUUGAGUGACGGAUAAGGGUAGAGAGAAUGUGGCAUCCUCGGAUGUGUUAUAGUUCUWUACUGGAUACGUCCYUUGGNAGUGAGGCACNCAGCNCUCCNCAAGGCAGACCCUCGGGUACUUUCNAGCUU
This 546-nucleotide ribosomal RNA is filed under the name Exobasidium rhododendri. RNAcentral's name for it is "LSU rRNA". It matches the Rfam family "Eukaryotic large subunit ribosomal RNA", at positions 84 to 617 of the family's 3401-position model. Lineage: Eukaryota; Fungi; Basidiomycota; Exobasidiomycetes; Exobasidiales; Exobasidiaceae. The record is from RNAcentral.